This 353-nucleotide long non-coding RNA is filed under the name Neogale vison (American mink). RNAcentral's name for it is "Neovison vison (American mink) lncRNA (ENSNVIG00000005455.1)". Lineage: Eukaryota; Metazoa; Chordata; Mammalia; Carnivora; Mustelidae. The record is from RNAcentral.
CGCCGUUCUGGUUGACGACACGCGGCGGUGCUGUGCAGGGGCCCUGGAGAGAGCUGGAAACUCUGCAGCCUUCCUCGCCCUCCCAGCAAGCCCAACCCUGCCUGGCUCCAGAUCGGUCAUGCCUGGAUGGGUUUAAAGAGCCGCAAUCCAUUCUGAUGGAGAAGUUAUAAACUUCAUUCUGCAAGCUUGGAUAAGAUACAGGACAGGAGCUAGUACCUAGUACCCAGUACUCCCUCCACAGGAGAGCCAGGGGAAGGAAGCUACAGACCUUUCACCGUCCUGGAAAUUCAUUCCUUCAACGCAUUUUUUGCAUGCCUACCAUGGGCUAGGAAUCAAUGAAGAGUAAGCCCCAA